Molecule: small nucleolar RNA, 93 nt
Filed under: Rasamsonia emersonii CBS 393.64
Lineage: Eukaryota; Fungi; Ascomycota; Eurotiomycetes; Eurotiales; Trichocomaceae
Description: A. fumigatus snoRNA Afu_335
Rfam family: A. fumigatus snoRNA Afu_335
Source: Rfam by way of RNAcentral
UCUCGUGAUGAUCAUCCUGAUAGGGACAUCUGAUGCAACAUAUGAUGUCACAACAGGCAAGAGUAUUUAGUAGAUGCUUCUUGGGAUCUGAAG